AUAAGCAAGAGCACAUCAACUUUUAGUACUGAAAAAUGCUGCUGUGUUCUCUCCCCAAGUCCCAAGAAUCCAAUUUAAACAGGACUCAACUGAGCCUUGGGAAACAGAGGCAUCUUCUACACUCUUCUCUACCAGGGUGGAAGGCUGAAGUACUUGGUCCCCUGCAUCAUUCCAGCCAGACACUCCACCCUUCCCACCCAUAGCCAGAGGCAACGUCUAUGCCAUUCACUCCUGUCACCCAGCACCCAGCACAAAGCCUGACAUGUGAUAGAUGUCCAAUAUACCUGUUGAAUGAAUAACCAACUCUUUCCGGUGGCUCCCAGCCCUGCCCAGAUAAGUGACCUAGUAGGGGUAUCCUACCAGAUCCCUGUAAGAAGUCUGCCUUGCCUGGUCUCCUCCGGCUUCCAGGAACUGCAUCUCCCACCUCACUGGACCACUGAGGAGGCCUGGACAUGAUGUGAUCUGGGUACCCAACUUUGAAGUAAGGGGAGAGACUGGAGCCAAAAGAAUGAAGUUGUCCUCAGAGUA
This is a long non-coding RNA of Suricata suricatta (meerkat), 528 nucleotides long. RefSeq lists it as uncharacterized. The record is from RefSeq and is a predicted model, not a curated record. Lineage: Eukaryota; Metazoa; Chordata; Mammalia; Carnivora; Herpestidae. The transcript has 2 exons.